UUAACAAUUUGAAAAUUUCAAUUUCAUUCAAGAUUGCAUUAGAAUAAAGGUAAUACUUUUUAUUGUUGGGGAAAAACUUGCUCCCAUGGUCACUGUAUAAUAUGGCAUGAUAGGCUUCUAGAGACUUUCAUGUACAAUAUUUCAUUGUUGAGGGACUUUGUCCUCCUCAAACCCAAUUACAUAUCUUGAUUCCAUCAAGAACUUCCACAUUUUAGUUAUUAAUUCAAACUAUACUAUUUUGCAAUAGAUGGGACACUGGUUCUAGACUCUUAACUCUAGAGGAAAUGAUUUUUGUGCCUGUGUAGGCAUAGGAGGAGGAGGAGGAGGAAGG
RNAcentral lists this unclassified non-coding RNA (331 nucleotides) under Hevea brasiliensis (rubber tree). Lineage: Eukaryota; Viridiplantae; Streptophyta; Magnoliopsida; Malpighiales; Euphorbiaceae. The record is from RNAcentral.